GGAACAAAGAACCGUAGAAGGUAAUAUAACAUAAUUCGGUAGAUAGAGAAUAGAAAUAAUAAUAAUAGAAAAGGAAUCUGGUAAACUUCAAAAAAAAAAAAAAAAAAAAAAAUAAUACUGGAUCUCAACCUACGUCUUCCAACAAGUAAAGCUUGCAAGAUCUCACACCUUUCUUAGUUUUUCCUGCACUCCAACUAUGAAUCCUGUUCAAAUGCAAAUAGACUUAGCCAAGACACUUCUAAUGUACUAUACAAAUUCACUGCUAAUUUCCAAGGCACCAAACAGCCCGCCCAACUAUGACGUGAACAAACCUGUCUGGAUCAUAAUUGCUAAAUACAACUAUGAGAGUGUAGCGUUCUGUUCUGUUAUGUUCUGCAUAUGCAGUACCCCCUGCAAGUGGCUUGCCUCAGUAGCAUGCACAGUGCCUCAAAUUUGUUACAGUU
This 443-nucleotide unclassified non-coding RNA is filed under the name Hevea brasiliensis (rubber tree). The record is from RNAcentral. Lineage: Eukaryota; Viridiplantae; Streptophyta; Magnoliopsida; Malpighiales; Euphorbiaceae.